RNAcentral lists this ribosomal RNA (478 nucleotides) under Paenibacillus sp. oral taxon E29. Its description in RNAcentral is "bacterial SSU rRNA". It matches the Rfam family "Bacterial small subunit ribosomal RNA", at positions 28 to 494 of the family's 1533-position model. Lineage: Bacteria; Bacillati; Bacillota; Bacilli; Caryophanales; Paenibacillaceae. The record is from RNAcentral.
GACGAACGCUGGCGGCGUGCCUAAUACAUGCAAGUCGAGCGGACUUCAUCCUUCGGGGUGAGGUUAGCGGCGGACGGGUGAGUAACACGUAGGCAACCUGCCCUCGAGACUGGGAUAACCUCCGGAAACGGAUGCUAAUACCAGAUACGCGGUCUUCCCACCUGGGGAGAUCGGGAAAGACGGAGCAAUCUGUUACUCGGGGAUGGGCCUGCGGCGCAUUAGCUAGUUGGUGAGGUAACGGCUCACCAAGGCGACGAUGCGUAGCCGACCUGAGAGGGUGAUCGGCCACACUGGGACUGAGACACGGCCCAGACUCCUACGGGAGGCAGCAGUAGGGAAUCUUCCGCAAUGGACGAAAGUCUGACGGAGCAACGCCGCGUGAGUGAGGAAGGCCCUCGGGUCGUAAAGCUCUGUUGCCAGGGAAGAACGCUUGGGAGAGUAACUGCUCUCAAGGUGACGGACCUGAGAAGAAAGCCCG